This 438-nucleotide ribosomal RNA is filed under the name Triticum aestivum (bread wheat). RNAcentral's name for it is "partial small subunit ribosomal RNA". The record is from RNAcentral. Lineage: Eukaryota; Viridiplantae; Streptophyta; Magnoliopsida; Poales; Poaceae.
AUGACUAAAGAUAAUCUCUUAAAUAGAGGCAUUGUGAAACCUCUAGAGUGCUUGUUUUGCAAUGAACAUGAAACUGUUGAUCAUCUACUUUUCAACUGUGUGGUUGCUAAACAACUCUGGUCAGGUAUCUAUGAUGUCUUCUCUUGUGAAUUAGGCACUACCUACCUGUCAGUUGCUAGAUAUUGGCCGGCACAUAAGAAACACUUGGUCUUGAAUUCAGUAUGUGCCUGUGUGAUGUGGUGCAUUUGGAAGUACAGAAACUCUAUGAUAUUCAGUAAUGUAAUAUGGUCUGAUCUUAAACAAAUUUGGUGGCAGAUUCAUCUAACUCUCAAGAAGUGGAUGAUCCUUUUCAAGGAACCGCAAAUGGAAAGCCUGAAACUCAUCUUGCAGAAGAUAGCGUCGAUACUCACUUCCCCUUCCCUGCUAACUAUGGGGUGA